Long non-coding RNA from Gavialis gangeticus (Gharial), 1261 nucleotides. RefSeq lists it as uncharacterized. The transcript is spliced from 2 exons. The record is from RefSeq and is a predicted model, not a curated record. Lineage: Eukaryota; Metazoa; Chordata; Crocodylia; Gavialidae.
UCAGAAGCUGCGAAACAGGAGUAGCAAGAUACAUCGGACAUUCUGGCAGCCAUAGCAAACUACCAAGGGAGGGCUUUCAAUGAAGUAUCCUUAAAGAAUGGGCAUGAGUAUAAUUAAGAAAAGUUAUUCAAGUUAUUGCCUCCCUACAAUUUUUUCUCUAGAAUGACUACUGGGGAAACCAUGUUCUCAAACUGUGUCUGGAUGAAAGCCCAAUUCAACAGAGGAGGAGAAAAUGGUCUGAUCAUUCCCUGGCAAAAGAUUUCAAUGAUAGCAGACCAGAGAAGUAGCUGGAGGUGUGUUACACAAGAGAUUCAACAUGCUGCCAGUUCAAACCAUGGCUAGAAGUCACCCUAAAUGAAACUGAAGAACACAUGAAGAACAAUUGUGGUGGCAACUGAGCCCCCUGGUCAGAGGUGUAACUUUAAAUGUUGGUGCCCUGGGUGGCAUGGGGUAAGGAGUGAGCUCUUACCUCCUUGUGCAGGUGCUGCUGUGGAAGUGGACUCAUGGGCAGCUGCUGCCUCAGGGUCAGCUCCUGCAGCUAUGGCUUCAGCAGUGGUGGUAACAGAAGUUCAGGUUCCCUGGAAGCUGCCGUUCUGGUGCCCACUUCAAAUUAUUCCCCUUCCCCAAGUUACACUUCUGCCCUUAGCUCUCUGUCUGGGAGUUACUCAGCUACCUGGGAGGUACCUGAGCCCUUGCAAGGGAAGGAGGGAGGGAGGGCAGACAACAGGACAGUACUGCCAUGAAACAGUUAUAAGUUAUAACCUUCAACCACAGUACUUCAAAUGUUUCAGGGUCCCAGCAACCCAGGGAGGGAAAAGAAUCAGAUACACAUUAAGCAGUUUCCUGUGCUGAGCUACAGACAGCUGCCAAUCAGCACAGCCUCCCCAGUCAGACAGGAAAGAAACCACAAGCUCUUCCCUCCACUCUUCCCUGUGGCUCUCCCCACAUCACUGACACUCCAACAGACUACUUUUUAAUGGGACCAAGGCAAAGCCCAAAGUCUACAAGGUACAGUAACUAGAGGCACAGACAGGACACUAGUUGGAUACAGAUGCCACAACAAAGAACAUCUGGAUAGGAAGAGGUUCUCUGUGGCCCCAGAGAUUCACAGAUUCAGGCAAUGCACAUGCAGAAAAGUUCAAGUAUGUAGGUACCCAGAAGUUAGCUGGAGAAAAAUCCAGAACUCAUGCUGUUUCUAAAGUUCCCCAGCUUCCUACUUUUCACUUCAUGGCCAGGCAUUACCAGUUUAAACUCUGGGAAU